UAGUAAUCGUGGAUCAGCAUGCCACGGUGAAUACGUUCCCGGGUCUUGUACACACCGCCCGUCACACCAUGGGAGCUGGUAACACCCGAAGUCAGUAGUCUAACCGCAAGGAGGACGCUGCCGAAGGCGGGAUUAGCGACUGGGGUGAAGUCGUAACAAGGUACC
Molecule: ribosomal RNA, 165 nt
Filed under: uncultured bacterium
Lineage: Bacteria
Description: partial 16S ribosomal RNA
Rfam family: Bacterial small subunit ribosomal RNA
Source: RNAcentral